CCUACGGGAGGCAGCAGUAGGGAAUAUUGCUCAAUGGGGGAAACCCUGAAGCAGCAACGCCGCGUGGAGGAUGAAGGUUUUCGGAUUGUAAACUCCUUUUGUUAGAGAAGAUAAUUACGGUAUCUAACGAAUAAGCACCGGCUAACUCCGUGCCAGCAGCCGCGGUCAUACGGAGGGUGCAAGCGUUACUCGGUAUCACUGGGCGUAAAGAGCGCGUAGGCGGGAUAGCAAGUCAGAUGUGAAAUCCUAUGGCUUAACCAUAGAACUGCAUUUGAAACUGUUAUUCUAGAGUAUGGGAGAGGUAGGUGGAAUUCUUGGUGUAGGGGUAAAAUCCGUAGAGAUCAAGAGGAAUACUCAUUGCGAAGGCGACCUGCUAGAACAUAACUGACGCUGAUGCGCGAAAGCGUGGGGAGCAAACAGGAUUAGAUACCCCUGUAGUC
This 440-nucleotide ribosomal RNA is filed under the name uncultured bacterium. RNAcentral describes it as "partial 16S ribosomal RNA". It matches the Rfam family "Bacterial small subunit ribosomal RNA", at positions 338 to 795 of the family's 1533-position model. The record is from RNAcentral.